AUGGUCGAGAAGAACAAUGGAUUGUUGAUGGAGCCAAUCAACAAGGACGAUAAGGACGGCCACAACAGUGAGAAUAAGAAGGCGGAGCUCAUCGCCGUCGGCCGCCAGCUCUGCAGGGAGAAGAAAAACGACAAUGCGUUAAUUAUAAAGAAGUCAACAAUGCCACCUGGUGUGCAAAGGGUCCUAAGGUAUAUGUUAUCCACCAUUGGUAUUGAUCCAUUAGAAUAUUUGAUUCCCGUGAGGGGCGGCGACCCAUGCUGGACGUGUGAUGAGGGGAGUGUUGUUGAUGCGACCUGGCGGACAGAUAUCAAGGGUGAUGUUGAGGCCGGCGGCAAAAUAAAUGGCCAAAUGGGGCUCCUCAAUGCAAGUGAGAAGGCUGAUUGA
RNAcentral lists this ribosomal RNA (384 nucleotides) under Triticum aestivum (bread wheat). RNAcentral's name for it is "partial small subunit ribosomal RNA". The record is from RNAcentral. Lineage: Eukaryota; Viridiplantae; Streptophyta; Magnoliopsida; Poales; Poaceae.